RNAcentral lists this ribosomal RNA (352 nucleotides) under uncultured bacterium. RNAcentral describes it as "bacterial SSU rRNA". It matches the Rfam family "Bacterial small subunit ribosomal RNA", at positions 917 to 1268 of the family's 1533-position model. The record is from RNAcentral.
GGACCCGCACAAGUAGUGGAGCAUGUGGUUUAAUUCGAAGAUACGCGCAGAACCUUACCAACACUUGACAUGUUCGUCGCGACUUUAAGAGAUUAAAGUUUUCGGUUCGGCCGGACGAAACACAGGUGCUGCAUGGCUGUCGUCAGCUCGUGUCGUGAGAUGUUGGUUAAGUCCCGCAACGAGCGCAACCCUCACUUUUAGUUGCCAUCAUUUAGUUGGGCACUCUGAAAGAACUGCCAGUGAUAAGCUGGAGGAAGGUGGGGAUGACGUCAAGUCCUCAUGGCCCUUACGUGUUGGGCUACACACGUGCUACAAUGGUAUCUACAACAGGAAGCAAAACUGCGAAGUUAGC